AUACUCCACUUCCCCCCUUCUCGAGUCCGGCCUACAGUGAGGAGACCGGAGCCAGAGGGGCGGGCGAGCGCGAGAGCGAGUGGGCGGCGGCGGGCGGUGGAUGGCGAUGGCGGGCGGCGGGGGACUGAACCGGUCAUCAUCGCGGGGGCAGCUGCCGCCGCAGGAGCUGCUCGACGAUCUCUGCAGCCGGUUCGUGCUGAACGUGCCCAAGGAGGACCUGGAGUCCUUCGAGCGGAUCCUGUUCCUGCUGGAGCAGGCGCACUGGUUCUACGAGGACAACUCCGUGGAGCACAACCCCUCCCUCAAGUCCCUCUCCUUCAAGGACUUCACCUCCCUAAUGUUCAACAGCUGCGCCGCUCUCAGGCCCUACCGCGCGCACCUCGACGACAUCUACAAGGACUUCACCCACUACAAGUUCCGGGUCCCCGUCUCCGGCGCCAUCAUCCUCGAUGACAACUAUGACAGGUGCUUACUUGUGAAAGGAUGGAAGUCUAGUGCCAGCUGGAGUUUCCCCCGCGGAAAGAGGAGCAAAGAUGAAGAGGAUCAUACUUGUGCAGUUAGAGAAGUUCUGGAGGAGACUGGGUGUGAUGUUUCUAAGCUUUUGAAAAUGGAUGACCACAUUGAAGUUUCAAUUGGACAACAAAGAGUUCGACUCUAUAUUAUUACGGGUGUUAAGGAAGAUACUGUUUUCGCACCUCAAACUAAGAAAGAGAUCAGUGAGAUCUCAUGGCACAGAAUUGAUGAUCUUCUACCUGCUAGUGAUGAUGCAAUAUCUCGUGGAGUGAAUGGGAUGAAGCUUUAUAUGGUUGCACCAUUUUUGACGGGUCUGAAAUCAUGGAUAGGCACACAUCGGUCCCAAGUAUAUCAGAAGCCAGAUACAUCUGCUAGAGGUACUGUGUGGAAAGCGAAGAAUCCCUCGGGUGUCUUUGUGCCUGUUGAGAACCCUGUUAUUACUAGAGCAGGAUCCGACAUGCAGAAUCCUGUUAUUAGUAGAGCAGGAUCUGGCACGCAGCACGUCGACAACCGCCCUGGCAAAAGCUUCAGAAGCUUCAGGUUCGAUACGGCCAGUAUUCUGCAGUCAAUGGAUGCUUCCUUUCUGCAUACCUAGGAUCCUGACAGAUCAUCAACUCCUGUACCCUUGAUGUGUAUAGACUAUGGAAUGGCGUUGUCGCUCGUUGUUAACUGGAAUCCACGACGCCACGAUGUUUCGUCUCCCCGUGCUGUGUUUAGUUGGUAUCUGUAAUCUAGAACACUAUAAUUGUCACACCUUUCUUGAGCUGUUAUAAAUGUCAUGUCUUUUGCACACUUAAGUUCUUGCUUUUGCUUGAGGUGAUAUAUGUGAUGUCUGAAAUUGUUUGCGUGGUAACACUGGAUGGUACAGGAAGAAUUCUUGUGCGUUAUGGUCC
This 1406-nucleotide ribosomal RNA is filed under the name Triticum aestivum (bread wheat). RNAcentral's name for it is "partial small subunit ribosomal RNA". Lineage: Eukaryota; Viridiplantae; Streptophyta; Magnoliopsida; Poales; Poaceae. The record is from RNAcentral.